This 360-nucleotide ribosomal RNA is filed under the name uncultured bacterium. Its description in RNAcentral is "partial 16S ribosomal RNA". It matches the Rfam family "Bacterial small subunit ribosomal RNA", at positions 338 to 695 of the family's 1533-position model. The record is from RNAcentral.
CCUACGGGUGGCAGCAGUGAGGAAUAUUGGUCAAUGGACGAGAGUCUGAACCAGCCAAGUAGCGUGAAGGAUGACUGCCCUAUGGGUUGUAAACUUCUUUUAUAAAGGAAUAAAACGAGGCACGUGUGCCUUUUCGCAUGUACCUUCUGAAAAAGCAUCGGCUAACUCCGUGCCAGCAGCCGCGGUAAUACGGAGGAACCGAGCGUUAUCCUGAUUUAUUGGGUUUAAAGGGAGCGUAGAUUGGUUGUGAAGUCAGUGGUGAAAGUUUGCGGCUGAACCGUAAAAUUGCAAUUAAGACUGGCAGUCUUGAGUACAGUUGAGGUAAGCGGAAUGCGUGGUGUAGCGGUGAAAUGCUUAGAU